GACAAUGAAACAAGCUCAGAUGAUCACGGAACAAAGCAGGAUAUUCAAGUGGCUGAAAAAUUAUUUUCCAAAUUUCACGGGGGAUGCCACCCAGCUUACUGUGUAUGAUGAGGCUCAAGCACGAUCGCAAGAUACACAAUUACGUUAUACUGCUUACUGUUUAGGAUGGAGGGUGAAAAAUAUUUUCUCUUUUGCAAAGUCUCACCCUUAAUCACAUUAUUCUUGACAGUGGGCCGAAAACAGCUCAUUAUCUAUCUUUAUAUAUUCAUUCUAGUUUCAUUUAGAUUGACUUAAUUAAUUUGUUAUACUAUUCUCUUUUGCGUCUCUUUUUCAAGUAAAAUUCGGCAACUCACUCUCUCUCAAACCAUGGCAAAAUCGCGUCUUUUAUUGGUAUCGUUGCCUAUAUAUAUAGCCUUAUACGAAAUUAUAAUGAUAACUGGAUGGGUGUCAGUAUCACUGUAUGGGGGAGUUAUAAAAUUGGUUGGGUAGUAAAAGGAGAAGGGAGGGAGUAAAAGGUCUCAUGUUCAAUUUUUCUUAUUAACAAAAAAUUAAUAAUUAACAACAAAUAUUUAUCGAUAAAAAAAAAAAAUCACUGUAUCGGUGUCCAACUCUUUGGAAGCAUGCUUUGAUGUAAUAACAAGAAUUUUCUGUCUAUUGUAAUUUGUAAAUACCAUUUAUUUUAAAACUGGGACUUAUCUUCCGUGUGCUUUCAGUUGCCAUGAGAAGCCAUUCUCUCCGUUGUAUUGUACUAAAGGCGAAAUAGUAAUGGUUGCCACUUACUCCACUAACAAAAGGGGUAAGUUCCUAGCCUUUUUUUGUUUGUGUUUGUGAUAGUGGGUAUAACACUAACUGUUAAUCAUCAAAAUUUGAAUAUAAAUUUCUGCAGUCAUUGGUGGGCAACUCCAUAUGGUCCUUUUCCUGGGGUCUUUUUGUUGAAUUUUGAUAUUUUGCUACCUGUAUGAUUGGUUUGGUUGCUAGAUCAAUGGAUCUGAAGUUUUGCCUAAUUUUUAGUUAUAUAAUUGCAUGCCUUGUCUUGAUGAUCAAGGAUUAUAUGCUUGUACUUUUAUAUCUCUGUUUUUACUUCUUUUGAUGUUUUCUGAUUAUUUUCUCUUUUCUUGUAUUGUGUCUAUCAAAUGUAUUAUUUCAACAUCAUAUGAUCUAGUGUUGCAUUUUGUACGAAUUUACCAGGUCAGUGAUGAUGGUAAUUGGUAAGUCUACUCCAUCGUUGUUUGGCUGGUGUAGUAGCUAUUAGUGUAGAUCAGAUUGUAAUGAGAGGAGUUUGCUAGAGUAGGAUGUCUAUGUAAUAAAUAUAGAGCAUAGAGGCUAUGGCCUCCUCCAUUUCUAACCACGAGUUUUAUCCAUUGAGAAUCACAUUACUACUUAUAGAAUAGGAGAGAGUGCUUAAUUCCUCAAGUAAAUCUAGAUCAACUAUAGAUGAUGAAGUUACUUAUACAUGAUUUAUGAUGUAUGUAGUGUUUAAGUGUUUUAUAAUCAUAUAUGCCCUUUCAACUAAACCUUACAUGGUCUUAUUUGAAGGUCAAAAGGAGCUCACAAGUAUAGGAGACAUCUAUCAAUGGGUUAAACAACAGAUCUAAUGGCACCACACCCAAAACAUUACACAAGGAGUCUGUGAAUCUUUUUACUUGUGGUCCUCUCAGCCCAUUUUGGAAUUUGGACCAAUAUGGAACUUCAUUACUCGCACUCUACUAUCCAACAUUACUCCUCCCCCUCUCUCUUUUGGUUAUUGUUUUUGCUUCCAUAUAUUCCUAUGAUAUAAAGCUUUGAAGGUGCUAAGUGAAUACGUAAUUAUGUAUUCAGUGGCAAGUGGUAACAUGGCAUUUGUGCUUAUACGUAAAAUACUUUUCUGAAUCACUCAUGGAUUGGUAGCUCAAAAAAUUGGUGAACAUGAUGCAUCUUCUAUCUUGUGGUCCUUGUGUUGCAUAUUAGUAUGCAGAAUCCCAACUGAACCUCUUAUAUUCUUACUGAAAAUGUUAGUGGAAAAUGCCAUAAUGACAUUGUGGCUGCUGCAACUUUUAUUAUGGUUGAUUAGCACAAAUUUUGUGCAAUAACUGAGUGUCUGGAGUUUAUGUCAACGAGUGUGAUUUCCAUCGGGGAAUUCUAUUGACAAUCUUAGAUAGGCAUUGCUUUGCAACACGUUUCUAUUUUUCUCUGGGCAACAUGAUCCAUAGUAGUAUACAAAAUACUGAAGUAUUCCUACAAGUUACUUAAAAAAUCCAAUUUCAGUAUUUUGUUGAUAAAUUAUGCAUGUGUUCUUUCAUAAUGAUUCUGAUUUUGUAAAAGCAAUAGAUAUGCCAAGUUGCCAACACUUAUCAGUCACCUCGGAGGAUGUUAGCUCUCUCCCCUCUGAAAAGAAUUUUGCCUCACACUGAGUAUCAUGUGAGCCACUGUAAUUGUGUAGACUAGCUUCUUCUAGAUAGUCAGGGUAUUGAAACUGAAACAUAGUUUAUCCAGUGGCACGUUUAGGGUGAAAAAUGCUAAUUGAUUAGUGAU
This 2511-nucleotide long non-coding RNA is filed under the name Glycine max (soybean). RNAcentral's name for it is "long non-coding RNA (GMAX_LNC003880)". The record is from RNAcentral. Lineage: Eukaryota; Viridiplantae; Streptophyta; Magnoliopsida; Fabales; Fabaceae.